UAAUACGGAGGGUGCGAGCGUUGUCCGGAAUCACUGGGCGUAAAGGGCGCGUAGGCGGCACGGUAAGCGUGCGGUGAAAGCCCGGGGCUCAACCCCGGGUCGGCCGUGCGGACUGCCGAGCUGGAGCACUGUAGAGGCAGGUGGAAUUCCGGGUGUAGCGGUGGAAUGCGUAGAGAUCCGGAAGAACACCAGUGGCGAAGGCGGCCUGCUGGGCAGUGGCUGACGCUGAGGCGCGACAGCGUGGGGAGCAAACAGGAUUAGAUACCCUGGUAGUCCACGCCGUAAACGAUGGGCACUAGGUGCCUGGGGGAGCGACCCCCUGGGUGCCGGCGCUAACGCAUUAAGUGCCCCGCCUGGGGAGUACGGCCGCAAGGCUG
This 377-nucleotide ribosomal RNA is filed under the name uncultured bacterium. Its description in RNAcentral is "bacterial SSU rRNA". It matches the Rfam family "Bacterial small subunit ribosomal RNA", at positions 521 to 896 of the family's 1533-position model. The record is from RNAcentral.